AAGUUAUUGGACAAGCCAUUGCCGAUAUCCAUCUCAGAAUACAAGAACCAUCCGCUGUACGCACUAAAGAGGCACCUGCUAAAAUACGAGGCCAUCUACCCCGCUACAGCCGCUGUCCUGGGGUACUGCAGAGGAGAGCCAGUUUAUUCACGAGAGUGUGCACACACUCCAUUCUAGAGAUACCUGGCUGAAGGAAGCAAGAACUGUUCGACUUGGAGAGGAGCCGUACAAGGAUGAUGUCCGAGCAGAAAGAUGUCAAAGAUCUGCCUCUCUUGGGAGUCUGGCAAACUGAAGAGUACCAGCCUCCGAUCG
Sinocyclocheilus anshuiensis is the source of this 312-nucleotide long non-coding RNA. RefSeq lists it as uncharacterized. The record is from RefSeq and is a predicted model, not a curated record. NCBI's taxonomy places the organism in Eukaryota, Metazoa, Chordata, Actinopteri, Cypriniformes, Cyprinidae. The transcript has 3 exons.